Gossypium hirsutum (cotton) is the source of this 149-nucleotide non-coding RNA. Lineage: Eukaryota; Viridiplantae; Streptophyta; Magnoliopsida; Malvales; Malvaceae. The record is from Rfam.
UAUUAAAAAAUUCAUCCAUUUUUACUAUUAAAAACUAAAGUAGCUAAUAGAAUAACCAAACAGUUAGUUAAACAUGACAUGCCACAAGUGCCUCAUUAUAACAUUCAAAUACUAAUUUUUAACAGUAGAAAUGAAUGAUUUUUUUAAUA